This 120-nucleotide ribosomal RNA is filed under the name uncultured bacterium. RNAcentral describes it as "partial 16S ribosomal RNA". It matches the Rfam family "Archaeal small subunit ribosomal RNA", at positions 747 to 866 of the family's 1478-position model. The record is from RNAcentral.
CCAGCCGUAAACGAUGCGCGUUAGGUGUAUCGGUGACCACGAGUCACCGAGGUGCCGAAGGGAAACCGUGAAACGUGCCGCCUGGGAAGUACGGUCGCAAGGCUGAAACUUAAAGGAAUU